GACGAACGCUGGCGGCGUGCUUAACACAUGCAAGUCGAACGAUGACGACCGGGCUUGCUCGGUCUGAUUAACGGCGAACGGGUGAGUAACACGUGAGCAACCUGCCCUUCACUCUGGGAUAACCUCGGGAAAUCGGGGCUAAUACCGGAUAUGAGCUCCUGUCGCAUGGCGGGUGUUGGAAAGUUUUUCGGUGAAGGAUGGGCUCGCGGCCUAUCAGUUUGUUGGUGAGGUAGUGGCUCACCAAGGCGAUGACGGGUAGCCGGCCUGAGAGGGCGACCGGCCACACUGGGACUGAGACACGGCCCAGACUCCUACGGGAGGCAGCAGUGGGGAAUAUUGCACAAUGGGCGAAAGCCUGAUGCAGCGACGCCGCGUGAGGGAUGACGGCCUUCGGGUUGUAAACCUCUUUCAGCAGGGAAGAAGCGAAAGUGACGGUACCUGCAGAAGAAGCGCCGGCUAACUACGUG
RNAcentral lists this ribosomal RNA (467 nucleotides) under uncultured bacterium. RNAcentral's name for it is "partial 16S ribosomal RNA". It matches the Rfam family "Bacterial small subunit ribosomal RNA", at positions 28 to 507 of the family's 1533-position model. The record is from RNAcentral.